CUUCUCCUCCUCUUGUCCCACAGCCGCGACCCCCAACCCUCUCGCUCCUCCUCCGUCUCAAUCUCUCGAUCCCCGACCACCACUGCCGCCGUCCUUCGUCCUCUCCCCCAACCUCGUCCGCCGGCGACCCCUCCCCUCCCCUUCUCUCCCACGACCGCGGUCGGAUCCGCGCUCCCUUCUCGCUCGUGACCUAGACCUAGCCGCAUGGCACGACCAUGGCCAUGGCGGCGGCCAGAUCCGCCCCCUCCCCUGCUCCGUUCCCUCGAUGCCGGCGGUCAUUCUCCCUUAGGCCACCCGCCCCCCUUCCUCCUCCCGCAGCAGCUCACCCGCAGCCUUCCCCGUGGCUCUAGGGUUUUGGGGGCAGUGGCGCCUCCAUUGCCGGCAUGGCUCCGGUGACUCUACAGCCUCCCCCCCUGACAUCUACCAAUCUGAGACAGCUGUGUCUCCGACUUGUCGCUUCCCAAUGGCUGCUGCUGGACCGGAUCCCUCCUCUUUGCCUGGAUGCUUCCUCGACUCUCCCUCCUCCCCAACAAGGCCGCCGUCGGACACCUUCUUCCCCGACAGCGCCGGCCGCAGAUCCACUCCUCCAUUUUCUUCUCACGGUUAUCCGCAGCAUAUAUGACUCAGAUCUAACCUUUUUGUUGUGUGUCUGGUUUUUCAGGAUAUGGGUGGUGCAGUGGCCGCAAGAACACGAUCGGCAGCGUCUAGGUCGGGUCGACUAGGGCGGCUGACAGCGGUGGCUACUUCCUUACAAGGACUACAAGCUCGCCCAUGACUACACGACCCUCCAGGUCCCAUCUGCAUGCUCGCUCCCUCCUCCCUGCCUCCUGCAUGUACCUGUUUAGGCCGCAAGCGGACUUGACAUGCUUAUGAGUUCAACAUAUGAGCUCUCUGACAUUUACCAUGCGCUGUGUUAUGUUCAGCAUCUUAUGUGUCAUGGAAAUGUCCUUGUGUUGCAUAGUAGGCCCUGAAUUAUUCAUGUUGUUGGCGAUGAGAUGUCCCUGUUUUGCUCUGUACUAUGCACUGCUAUAUUUAUAGUUUGAAAGCGUGAGUUUAAAAGAUGUCCCUAUUUUGCUUCUUAUAGUUUGAAAGCUAUACUGGUCAGUAAUUUGGGGCAUCUCCUCUAAGUGAUGUUUAAUGUCUCCUAUAGUUGUUUUGUGUCAAUUCGACCAAGGAUUUUGUUAUCUGGAACUGUAACUGUUGGCAUAGAGACUGACUGUUGUGGCAUAGUGCGACGUCUCACAAGGUGGAUUCAGAUUUGGUUGUCACGAUGCACAAGUGGUGGGUGUAGUACCGUUGUGUUGUCCUUGUAUAUAAACAUCCACCAAAAGGGAUUGGCAUCUAACGUUAAGAAAUUAUGUCAAAACGUAGCUGGCAGGCUUUCUAUUUCAGGCCCCCAUUGUAUAACUGUUUAGGCUUUAAGCUGGAUGCAUCUCUGUGAAGUGUGGAUAUUGGGGCAGAGUUGGAUUAUCAUUAGCCAUGGACUUUGUAAAGAGUAUAUGUCCAUUUUGCCAAGACAAGGACUAUUUUUUUUUCUACUUUAACUUGUUGAAUCAUCAGUAUUUGUUUCCACUCUUUAUAUUGAAAUCCACACAUAUUAGAAAGGAACAUCAUGUUAUGUGUAGAAGAGAGUCCUGGUUUUGAGAGGAAAUGUCAUGCGACUCAAGUACCAUGUUUAGAUGAUUGAUUUCUUUUUAAACUUGCAUUGUAUGCAUCGCAUUGGGCUUGCAGUCCAAAUGAGUGAUGAUGUCAUAAUGAGAUUUUGUCACUCACUUUGGGAUCAUCUAAUCUUUUUUUAUUAGUGUUUGAUGAUGGCAGUUUCUUGUGUGUUGUCAUUGCACCCAAGUGCUGUUUCUUGGCUUUGAGCCGUUAGUUGAUUGUAUUCCUGGUAUGAGAAUCAAGGAAUUUCGAGGCGCAUUAGAAUAAAAAAUGCGGAAGGAAACAAUAGUGAAUUGAUGUGAUGAUGAGUCCAUUUUAGCCGAAAUAAUGUUGUCGAUAGUGACCACAGCGGGAUUUUAACAUAGUCCAUUUCAGGUUCCCUCUGUUUCAAAGUGUAAAUGUAUUUCUAUCAGUUAAAGACAAGCAAGUUAUAAGUAAUUAUUACGCUGCUAAAAUUGAAAUUGAAACUUGAAAUUGAAUUGAACUAGAUUAUUACAUCAAGCAAUGUACUCCAGAAUACUAUUAAUAACUGGAGUCAAAGAUGACUGCAUCUGAUUGACCUAGACUAUAGCUUAUUCCUUCAGCGUACUAUCGCUUUCUCAAGUCAAGUCAAGCAACAAUUCAUGGGGCUCACUCAAUCAGGUGGGCGGCGCUAUCCAAUUCUAUUCUGAUUUCCUACUGAACUAUGUUGUUGUAGACUAUAAAAGAAGAAGCUGCAGUUGGUCAUGGAUUUAGAUUUGGCAUGUGUUUAUCUUGACUGCUCAGGGUGGAUGAAUUGUAGUUUUAUGCAUGUAACUCAGUCUGCUUGGACAACACUAGCAUGUUACUAUGUACUACUACUGUUCAAGAAGUUUCAUGAGUUGCUAGUGCCGCACUUCUCUAGUUUCAUUGAUGGUGUUUAACAGUACUUGCCCUUGUAUCCCUUAUUCAAUCUCGGAUUUCAUCAUAAAUCAUAAUGGACUACUAUUCUGUUGAAUGUUGAUUGGCGCACUAUUCUGUUGUUGCCAAGUAGAGGAAUAAGAGGAUAUAUGAAGUUUAAUAAUGAUGUUUCAUGCAAGUGGGGUUACCCAAUGUUGGCAAAUCAACUUUCUUUAACAUAGUAACAAAGGCGGGCUCCCACGCUGGCAACUCUAGGCUUGCGAUGAAGAAGAUCAAGGCUGAGAAGGACCCCAACAAGCCCACGUGUCCCCGAGCGCUUUUUUCAUCUUCAUCUGAGUCCCAGUCUCGGUUCUUGGUUCGAUUCAUGUUGCUUCUGUGGUGUGGUGUCGCGUACUGACCGAGGAUUUGGUGCAUGUUUCAUCUUUGCAGGGACAACUUCAGGAAGGAGUACAAGGAGAAUCACCCCGACAUCAAGAAGGUCUCCGUGAUCGGCAAGGCCGGUGGUGAGAAGUGGAAGUCCAUGAGUGAUGCUAUAAGUUGCACGUCUCCCCUCCCCUCUCUGUUACCGCUCAAUUGGGUGUUGGUUUACUCGUUUCUACCGCUUUGUCCCCCAUCCGCCUCUGUCUCGUUGUUCGUUCAAACUGGUGGCGCUGCGAGAUGAGUUUCCUCGUUAAUUCCGUGUCCUGAUAUGGUUUAGCUUGGUUGAAUUACAGAUCGGCAAGGCCGGUGGUGAGAAGUGGAAGUCCAUGAGUGAUGCUAUAAGUUGCAUGUCUCCCCUCCCCUCUCUGUUACCGCUCAAUUGGGUGUCAGUUUACUCGUUUCUAUCUUAGUUUGCCUAGUGUUCGAACCAGUUGGUCAGUUAGAUUUUGAAUGGUAGUAGCAGCAAACUGAUUUUUAUCAAAUAUAUCUCUAUUACCGCUCAAUUCGGUGCCGGUUUUCCAAUGGCAGUAGCAGCACACUGAUUUUUAUCAAUUAUAUCUUAUGCGAAGUUUAAGCGUAAUGUGUUGCAGUGAAGUAUUUUGCAUGACUUGCACUUGUGCAAUUAAUAUUCAUAUUGUGUCUAUGUUUUCUUGUAUGAAUGAGUAUCUCAUUUUGACUAGCUGGAGAACGAAAAGCAUGGUACUAGCUGAAUUUCUGUUGUCAUUUUAAAUGACUGUCCUUUUUUGAAACCCUUCCUAAUUUGUUUGCAGCCCUUCCUAAUUUUUUGUUCGUGUUCUAUUUGGAAAUGGAUGCAGCAGGUGCUCUUCUCUUGCACACGUCUGGCACCGACUCCGGCGCGGUGGUGCUUCUUGAGGUGACUGGCAUGAUGGCGGUUAUGUACGGCGGCGACCACAAGCCCUCCGCUGUGAGUAGAUGUUGAUGAUGCCAACUGGCUUGGCUGCUACCGUGAUGCAUGCGCUGGUCAAGCAAGACACAUGCAUAUACGUACAUGUCAGCAUAGUAGCAGAUAUUCCCUCUGUUCCUGCUAUAUUCAUGUGUAAAUGUAUUUCUGAGAUGAUUUUGUUGUGUUAUGUAAACCUGGGAGAUGUCUUAUGUGAUGUGAUAUGAUGCAUGAUUUCAA
Molecule: long non-coding RNA, 4099 nt
Organism: Triticum aestivum (bread wheat)
Lineage: Eukaryota; Viridiplantae; Streptophyta; Magnoliopsida; Poales; Poaceae
Exons: 4
Source: RefSeq, a predicted model, not a curated record